Long non-coding RNA from Gracilinanus agilis (Agile Gracile Mouse Opossum), 321 nucleotides. RefSeq lists it as uncharacterized. NCBI's taxonomy places the organism in Eukaryota, Metazoa, Chordata, Mammalia, Didelphimorphia, Didelphidae. The record is from RefSeq and is a predicted model, not a curated record. The transcript has 3 exons.
CUGGACCUGACGGGGUCCGGCCCCCGCAACCCAGUGACGAAGGCUUGGGAGUUCCUGAGGAUCUGGAUCCAUUGGGAUCACAACCCAGAGAACAGAGGAGUUCCUGAGGAUCUGGACCUGACGGGGUCCGGCCCCCGCAACCCAGGGAGGAUUUGGGAGUUCCUGAAGACCUAGAACCAAUGGGAUCACAACUCAGAAAACUGAGGAAUUCUGUGGAUCUGGACCUGAUAAGAUCCGUCCCCCAUAACCUGAUAGAAGAUUGCUCAGGUGUUUUUCGUGCAUCCAGGCCCUUGCAACUCAGAGAAAGUACUGCUGUGAAAA